Mesocricetus auratus (golden hamster) is the source of this 107-nucleotide small nuclear RNA. NCBI's taxonomy places the organism in Eukaryota, Metazoa, Chordata, Mammalia, Rodentia, Cricetidae. The record is from Ensembl.
GUGCUCACUUUGGCAGCACAUAUACUAAAAUUGAAACGAUACAGAGAAGAUUAGCAUGGCCCCUGCACAAGAAUGACACACAAAUUUGUGAAUCAUUCCAUAUUUUU